UACAGAGGGGGCAAGCGUUGUUCGGAAUUACUGGGCGUAAAGGGCGCGUAGGCGGCCAACUAAGUCGGACGUGAAAUCCCCGGGCUCAACCCGGGAACUGCGUCCGAGACUGGAUGGCUUGAAUCCGGGAGAGGGAUGUGGAAUUCCAGGUGUAGCGGUGAAAUGCGUAGAUAUCAGGAGGAACACCGGUGGCGAAGGCGGUUCUCUGGGCAUUACCUGACGCUGAGGAGCGAAAGUGUGGGGAGCGAACAGG
RNAcentral lists this ribosomal RNA (253 nucleotides) under uncultured bacterium. RNAcentral describes it as "partial 16S ribosomal RNA". It matches the Rfam family "Bacterial small subunit ribosomal RNA", at positions 524 to 776 of the family's 1533-position model. The record is from RNAcentral.